This 416-nucleotide ribosomal RNA is filed under the name uncultured bacterium. Its description in RNAcentral is "bacterial SSU rRNA". It matches the Rfam family "Bacterial small subunit ribosomal RNA", at positions 358 to 772 of the family's 1533-position model. The record is from RNAcentral.
GGAAUAUUGGGCAAUGGGCGAGAGCCUGACCCAGCCAUGCCGCGUGCAGGAUGAAGGCCUUCUGGGUUGUAAACUGCUUUUGAUCGGGAACAAAGAGUCCAUGCGUGGACAGUUGAGUGUACCGAUAGACUAAGCACCGGCUAACCCCGUGCCAGCAGCCGCGGUAAUACGGAGGGUGCAAGCGUUGUCCGGAUUUAUUGGGUUUAAAGGGUGCGUAGGCGGCUAUUUAAGUCAGUGGUGAAAUCCAACAGCUUAACUGUUGAACUGCCAUUGAUACUGGAUGGCUUGAGUACAGACGAGGUAGGCGGAAUUUAUGGUGUAGCGGUGAAAUGUAUAGAUACCAUAAAGAACACCGAUUGCGAAGGCAGCUUACUAGGCUGUAACUGACGCUGAGGCACGAAAGUGUGGGGAUCAAA